CCGCACGGGAUCCACGGUCUGCUAUCCCCCAUUUGCGCCACACGGGUAACCUCUAACAAGCUAGAAAAGUUACUCAUACUUGACUAAAGCCAGAGCCAUUAUAGCCCUUAUGGUUGCACUUUCAUCCCUGUUAUCACUUAUGAAUAAAUCCUCAAGUUGUUAAAAAGUCAUUAUUAUCAUUUGUUGCUUUAUAUCAAUCUAGUCACAAGAUCAUGGUCAUAGAAUUAAAACCCAAAUGCUAUACUUGCCUUGAUCCAAUUGCUCCUGCUGGUCCUGUUGAUCUUACUUGCUUCCAAGACUCUGAUCUUGAUCACCGAAGUAAUGCCCACUGUCUAAUCUCGAUCAUCGAUUAUCAAUCACACAAACAAUCGGAGACAGACAUACACGAAGCAGACAAUAUUACAAUUAGAACAGUACACCAGCAGUAAAUAAAUGUAAAUAAAAGUUUUCCAAAAUUAUCUACACGCUGCUACGAUCACGUCAACGGGAAAUUCAUGGAAAACGGAGCUACGACGCGAAAGUUACGCUUUUAACGGGAUUUCAAUAGGCGUUUACGGACUUGUAAUUAUCUAGGAAAUGUAACAGUGGUGAACCUAGACAACAAUGGUACCAACGCGAAGCUUAUGAAAUUAUAAAACUAACGCAACUUGAACGGAUCGAAACGGAGCUAAAACGGAGAAGAUAUAAAUUUUCUAAGAUUUUAUAUAGAAAAGUAAUUAAUUAAAUAGGGUCACAAAAUUAAAAUGUUUCAAAAGAGAAAACCGUAUUACUAACAUGUAUAUCUUUCAAAUACGAACUUAACGCAAUUUGAAUGGGUCAAAUCGGAGUUAAAAUGAAUAUUUUAUAGCCAAAAUAAGUUCAGUGGCAAUUUAGUAAAUACUGAAAACGUAUUUUGAAGCAAGCCGCGAUAGUUUACGUUUUCAACACAGCCAGGCGUAUUUAUUUAUUUUUUUCGAAUGCGCCAGGGACCGCGGGUUCUAUAUUUAAAAAGUUGAGGGGCUCUUUAACAAAAUUUCAGGCCGAAAGGGUAUUGGCCAUCUUGAGCCGUUGGAUCUCAGAUGAACGCGCAGGAUUAAAACAAAAGAAAAAAAAAAGAAAAAAACAAAAAGAAGAGAGAGGGAGGGGGUGGUGCCUGCUGCCGGAAGUGGGCAAGAACGCGUCGGCCACCAUGGCCGGCCGACUGAGGGCUCGCCGGAGCAAGCGGAUGGGAAGCUACGGUGCACGGUUUUUGAUUCCGAAAGCACUGGGAGAGAGAGGAGAGCGAUGCGAGUCCGUUCCUAGCCAUAAACACGGUCGGGGAGGUGGUUUCCGCGGAGGUUCACGGCGGCACCAUGAACGGCCCGUCGGAGCUCGUGGAGCUGGGACUCCAGGCCACGAUUGACCAAACCGAGUGCACACGGAGGAAGAGGGCGGCAAGGCGAACUCGCCGGGACACUAGGCGCGGCCAGGGAAGGUCCCGAGCGGCACACGCCACGGCCGACGGCCAUGGAGCUCGCCAGAGCUCUGUGGUCGGCACGGAGGAGUGCUCCGUUUCGCGAGAGAAAUAGACGGGGAGGAUGCGGGAGAGGAGGGGAGCUCACCAGCGCGAAGAACGGAGGCGAAGAAGGCUCGAAUCGGCGAGUUGAAUGCGGCAAAAGUCACGGCGUUCUCCGACGGCGUUCCCUGCGGUUGCAGCGCAUUCCAAGACAGAGCGAGAGAGGGAAUAGGGGCGAAAUGCAAGCGGGGAGGGGGCUCGGGUGCGGGUGCUGCUCAAAAGGGGCGAGGAGUGCGAAUCGUGGGGAGCGGCUCGGGCGCGUGCGGUUGCCAUCAGCACUGCGAUAGGAGAAGGAGAGCAGUUGGAGGGAGGGGAUGGAUCUGACGGGUGGGUCCCGCAUGGUAGUG
RNAcentral lists this long non-coding RNA (1881 nucleotides) under Sorghum bicolor (sorghum). RNAcentral describes it as "long non-coding RNA (SBIC_LNC018149)". Lineage: Eukaryota; Viridiplantae; Streptophyta; Magnoliopsida; Poales; Poaceae. The record is from RNAcentral.